Molecule: ribosomal RNA, 689 nt
Filed under: uncultured Verrucomicrobium sp.
Lineage: Bacteria; Pseudomonadati; Verrucomicrobiota; Verrucomicrobiia; Verrucomicrobiales; Verrucomicrobiaceae
Description: bacterial SSU rRNA
Rfam family: Bacterial small subunit ribosomal RNA
Source: RNAcentral
GAUCCUUAGCGAAGCUUGCUUUGCUAAGUCUAGUGGCGAACGGGUGAGUAACACGUGAGCAACCUGCCCAGAAGCAGGGGAUAAGCCACCGAAAGGUGGUCUAAUACCGUAUGUGAUUCCAAGGGGCAUCUCUUGGACAUUAAAGGGGGGGAUCUUCGGACCUCUCACUUCUGGAUGGGCUCGCGGCCUAUCAGCUUGUUGGUGAGGUAACGGCUCACCAAGGCAACGACGGGUAACUGGUCUGAGAGGAUGAUCAGUCACACUGGAACUGAGACACGGUCCAGACACCUACGGGUGGCAGCAGUCGAGAAUCAUUCACAAUGGGCGAAAGCCUGAUGGUGCGACGCCGCGUGGAGGAUGACAGCCCUAGGGUUGUAAACUCCUGUCAUGAGAGAGUAAAGACUUAACGUUAAUACCGUUGGGUCCUGAUAGUAUCUCAAGAGGAAGGGACGGCUAACUUCGUGCCAGCAGCCGCGGUAAUACGAAGGUCCCAAGCGUUGUUCGGAAUUACUGGGCGUAAAGCGUGCGUAGGCGGCAUGGUAAGUCAGAUGUGAAAUCCCGGGGCUCAACCUCGGAACUGCAUCCGAUACUGCCAAGCUAGAGUAGUGGAGGGGAGUCUGGAAUUCACGGUGUAGCAGUGAAAUGCGUAGAUAUCGUGAGGAAUACUAGUGGCGAAGGCGAGACUCUGG